Panicum hallii is the source of this 404-nucleotide long non-coding RNA. RefSeq lists it as uncharacterized. The transcript is spliced from 2 exons. Lineage: Eukaryota; Viridiplantae; Streptophyta; Magnoliopsida; Poales; Poaceae. The record is from RefSeq and is a predicted model, not a curated record.
UUUUUUCAAUCAAUUCUGCUUAUUCAAGGAGCCCAUCUGCGCAGCCCACGUGCUAACUUGGUGACUCCCGAUAUCCAGAAACACGAGCAAUUCUGAUCGAGGACGAAGCGACUAUGGGCGAGGUGUCCGGUGAGGUGGCAAUUGGGCGUUGAGGCGACAGGCGACGGGGCGCGGCCACGCGAACUGCUGAGACCGCGAGACGAGCAAAGGAGGUCAUGUAGCGGGCUCACAGUGGCCAGCGAUUGUACGCAUCAUGGAGAAGGCAACUAGUAGCAUGGUUCGGAAAGGAAACUGCAAAAAUGAGAGAUUUGAGGAGUUUUUGUCUAAGGAAGAGGCUCAGAUCCAAGUACCCAUAAACAUAUGCACAGACUGCUUUCAAUUCAAAAAUCUUACUUUUGAAUCAA